Molecule: ribosomal RNA, 253 nt
Filed under: uncultured bacterium
Lineage: Bacteria
Description: partial 16S ribosomal RNA
Rfam family: Bacterial small subunit ribosomal RNA
Source: RNAcentral
UACGUAGGGGGCGAGCGUUGUCCGGAUUUACUGGGCGUAAAGCGCGUGUAGGCGGCUUGGCAAGUCGGAUGUGAAAGCCCACGGCUCAACCGUGGAAGCGCAUCCGAAACGGCCUCACUCGAGUCUCGGAGAGGAAGGUGGAAUGCUUGGUGUAGAGGUGAAAUUCGUAGAUAUCAAGCAGAACACCUGCGGCGAAGGCGGCCUUCUGGACGAUGACUGACGCUGAGACGCGAAAGCGUGGGGAGCAAACAGG